UUUUUGUAAAAUGGAGAAAUAAAAUAUUAUUAUUAAAAUAUUAAAAAUAUUAUUCCUUGUGGAAAAUAUAUUGAAUACUUCCAUAUCUUGAGCUAGUGUACCAUAUGUACAUAUGAAUAGAACAUUCGUGCAAAAUUAUUUAAUAUUAAAAUAGUAUUAUUUAAGUGUUUGCCGAACCUAUCCUUUGAUAUCGACUCCUUCCGCUGACAGAAUGAGAGUCAUUCGGCUUGCGCAUACUACAUAUCAAUCCUAUUAUUCCACGUGGAAAAUAAUCAUGAUGCAGAUAUACCCACUUCAUAGGCAUGCUGGAGGGUUUGUAAGCCUCGCUAACGACAAUGCCUCCAUGAAAGUACUACCUCUCAUUGAGAUCAGAGCAUCAUGGUUAUUUUCCACGUGGAAUAAUAGGAUUGAUAUGUAGUAUGCGCAAGCCGAAUGACUCUCAUUCUAUCAGCGGAGGGAGUCCAUAUCAAAGGAUAGGUUAGGCAAACACUUAAAUAAUACUAUUUUAAUAUCAAAUUAUUUUGCAUGAUUAUUCUAUGUAUAUGUAUAUAUGGAAAACUAGCAGCUUCAGAUAUGGAAAUAGCCAACGUUCCACAUUGGAGCACCAGACUCAUCCGCGAGUCCAUCGAAAUAGAGAAGAACGGUACCUUCAACAAGAGAGAUGACGCCCUGCACUUGUCAGCCACUUGGAAAACGGUCCUACACCGUCCCCGAUCCGGAGCAGCCUUCCUGAGGGAGGGGAUUUUGGGCAGACCAUAGAGUUUGGGGCACCUGCUUGAUUUUUCCCGAGGGAUUAAGGUUUUCUUGAUCUCGGGGCCUAUUGGAGAUGCCUCUAUUAUCGAUUUGGUGGUUUUUUUCCAGCUCGACCUCUAGCUCUUCCAGGGAUGCGUUCUUCUUCCGAAAGGUUUUCUUCUUAGAAGAAACAACAUAUGCUUGUAUAAAGCUAGAUCUACACGAUACGCGAACUGGUUCGCCACUUCAUUGAAGUAUCUCUAGCCAAGUACCCCUACCUCAAGUACCUCUAUCUCUAUCUCAAGUACCUCUAUCACUACCUCAAGUAUCUCUAUCUGAAGUACCUCUACCUCAAGUACUAUAAUAAAUGUUUCAAUAUUUUAUUUAGGAUGGACUUUAAUGGAAAUCCUCUACUCUCCGCUCAAGCUCGACCUUUUAAUAUAUUUUGUUUCCGUGCCUUUUAACCCCUUGUCUAAUUACUAUAUUAUUUCAAAAUAUUAAUAAAAGAUAAAGCUUGUUUACAAUUAAA
Non-coding RNA from Onthophagus taurus, 1261 nucleotides. The record is from RefSeq and is a predicted model, not a curated record. Lineage: Eukaryota; Metazoa; Arthropoda; Insecta; Coleoptera; Scarabaeidae.